Molecule: long non-coding RNA, 920 nt
Organism: Daphnia pulex (common water flea)
Lineage: Eukaryota; Metazoa; Arthropoda; Branchiopoda; Diplostraca; Daphniidae
Exons: 3
Source: RefSeq, a predicted model, not a curated record
UCGAGCGAAUGACGCGAAGGUUUCUGUCACGCUUCUUUCGUUAUUUCUUGUAUGCUUGUUUUAGUGAGAAAUUGUGGUUAUAGAUUACAGAAAGUGUCAAAAAAUGUGUUAAAACUCUUUCUUGAUAGAACUAAGCGUUUAUUAACUUGGGAAACGUACAAGCCGUGAAGAGCCAAAACACGUGAACCUUGCCAAGAAUUUGGUUAUAUAUCUGUUAUUCAAUUAUACGACAAUGGCAGUUUUUUAAUACUGCCGGUGAAUUACAAAAAUUGAAAAAACCAAUAACAAUGAAAAGAUAGGAUGAAACGUGUCCAGCAUCAUACAAGCUCAGCUGUUCUUGCAUGUGCCUGAAUGAAUGAAGUGUUCCCUUAUUUUAGUUAUAUUGGCAACUCGUCAGUAUUUUUUUCAACAUGGAGGAAAGAUGAAAAUCAGCCUAUACACCAUGUAAAGGCACGAAUAAAAUUACACAACCAGGCUGGAGGGUCCAUGUGUGGGAAUAUCCAAGUGGUGAGAUUCUCUUUAAAGAGAAUAGUCAUUGGAAAAUGGUUACUGAAAUCCAUUGGGAUCUGAAACCAUCCUGGGAGGAUAUCUUAGCUACUCUCGACCAUUCUAAGUUGUAGUAACAUUUACUAGAAUAUUGGUGCUAAAACGGCCCUGAAGCUCCUGACACAACUGCUUUCUUUCCAAAUACGUUUUAUUUUCUUAAAAAAGUAACACCUUGAAAAAAACGUUCAAGCGUUUAAUUUUAGUUUUUCAUAUGGUCGUCCUAAAAGUUAACCAUUUUCGCUUUUCACAUUUUUGACGAUUUUUGGCAAUUUGAAUUGCAAUUACCCGAAUGGUUUCUAAUUUUUUUUUCUCGUAUUCUUGCUUCAUGUCGAGUUAGUUAAAGGGUAUUUUAAUGUCGUUCAAAUAAAAAUUGA